Molecule: long non-coding RNA, 1486 nt
Filed under: Ficedula albicollis (Collared flycatcher)
Lineage: Eukaryota; Metazoa; Chordata; Aves; Passeriformes; Muscicapidae
Description: lncRNA (ENSFALG00000026275.1)
Source: RNAcentral
AGUGUUCAAAUUCAAAUCCCAGGGUCCAUUUCCCAUUGGGGAAUGGCUUCUCCAAACCAAAAUCCAGCCUUUAUCCAUGGCUUUGGGAGAUCAGGGGGGAUUUUGGGAUCCUGGAUGUGCAAAUUCAAGAUCCAAGGUUCACAUUUCCCCUGGGAAUUGCUCUUCCCAAACCAAAAUCCAUCCUUCAGCUGCUCAUUUGGGAGAUCAGGGGGAAUUUUGGGACCCUGGAUGUGCAAAUUCAAAUUCCAUUUCCAUUCCCCAUUGGGAAAUGACUUCUCCAAACCAAAAUCCAUCCUUCAGCUGCUCCUCUGGGACACCAGGAGGGAUUUUGGGAUCCUGGAUGUGCAAAUUUCAGUUCCAGAAUCCACAUUUCCCCUGGGAAUUGCUCUUCCCAACCCGAAUUCCAUCCUUUAGCCACUCCUUUAUCAGAUCAGAAGCCAAGGAAGGAUUUUUGGGAUCCAGUUCCAAGAUCCUUGUCCCCUUCCCUGGGAUGUUCCCAUUGUCCCAUCCUUUUCCCCCAGUUUUUGGAGCAGGAAAUCCCCUCUCAGGGGUGCCACUUGUGCCUUGUGGGAAUGAUCUGGUGUGAAAUGAGCUUUUUGCUGCCUUUUUUUUUUUUUUUUUUUUUUUUUUUUUUUUUUUUUUUUUUUUUUUGUGUCUUAACCUGAAUAAAUCCCUGUGCCAAAGGCUCCCUGUGCCUUAAAAUGGGAAAAUCCUGCUGGAUUCUCCUGGAUUUGGUGGGGUUGGAGGUCUCAGAGCUGGGAAUUUUUUUUUUCCUUGAGAAACUGGAGAGAGUCUGAACUGCCUGGAGAAUUCCCAUGGAGAUGAAAUUUUGGGAAUUUCAUGCUGAAGAGACAAAAUGUGGGAUAAUGGGGGGGAUUCCAGCUUGUGGUGAAGCCUCUGGAAUUCUCACUUCGUCCUCCUCUUCCUCUGGAUGCUUUUUGGGUAUUUGUGCCUUGGGAGAAGCUCAGCUCCUCCUUGGAGUAACCUGGGACAAAAAAAAAAUCCUGGAGAAGGGGUGGUGGGAAGGGGGUUGGGCAUCCUGGGAUGGGGGGAAAUCCCUGGGAACAAAAAUCAGGCAGGAUCUGUUGGGAAUUUGCUCCUGCUCAGGCUGGGAGUGAAAAAAUCCUCCUGGGAAAAGGAAAAUCCAUCCUGGGAGGAGAGAAAUCCUCCUGGGAAAAGGAAAAUCCAUCCUGGGAGGAGGGAAAUCCGUAAUGGAAAAAAGGAAAAACGUUUUUGGGAGGAGAGAAAUCCUCCUGGGAAAAGGAAAAUCCAUCCUGGGAGGAGAGAAAUCCUCCUGGGAAAAGGAAAAUCCAUCCUGGGAGGAGGGAAAUCCGUAAUGGGAAAAGGAAAAAAUGUUUUUGGGAGGAGAGAAAUCCUCCUGGGAAAAGGAAAAUCCAUCCUGGGAGGAGAGAAAUCCUUUAUGGGAAAAGGAAAAUCUUUUAUGGGAAAAGCAAAAUCCAUUCUGGGACUGAGCAAAUCCUUCUAG